UUUCCGUAGGUGAACCUGCGGAAGGAUCAUUACCACACCUAAAAACUGUCCACGUGAACUGUGUUGAGCUUGGGGCGUGCUGGGCGUGCGUGUGCGUGUGGCUUCGGCCGCGUGCGUGCGUGUGUUUGGCGUGCUCAUCAAACGAAGAGGCGGGUCGCAAGGCCUGCUUUGGUAGUUACUUUUUUAAAUCCUUCUUGUUAACUGAUUAUACUGUGGGGACGAAAGUCUCUGCUUUGAACUAGAUAGCAACUUUCAGCAGUGGAUGUCUAGGCUCGCACAUCGAUGAAGAACGCUGCGAACUGCGAUACGUAAUGCGAAUUGCAGGAUUCAGUGAGUCAUCGAAAUUUUGAACGCAUAUUGCACUUCCGGGUUAUGCCUGGGAGUAUGCCUGUAUCAGUGUCCGUACAACAGACUUGGCUUCCUUCCUUCCGUGUAGUCGGUGGCGGGAACGCUCAGACGUGAAGUGUCUUGCUACUGCAAUUUGUAGAUUGUAGCGGCGAGUCCUUUGAAAUGUAGGACGUGUGUUCUCUUUGCUGGAAAAGCGUGUGGCGCGUGGUUGUGGAGGCUGCCUGUGUGGCCAGUCGGCGACUGAUUUCGUGCUGAUGCGUGCGGAGAGCGGUUCGAUUCGCGGUAUGGUUGGCUUCGGCUGAUUUUCUGCUUAUUGGGUUGUUGUUUGCUGCGUCGGCGUUUGCGGGGUCGGUGAACCGUAGCUGCGUUGGGCUUGGCUUCUGAGCUGUGUGCUGUGCUGCGAAGUAUGGUGGCUGCGUGUGCCUUUUGGUGCGCGCGGCCGAGAGACKGUCACCAUUUGGGAUUUUUGUGUCAGUGGCCUCGGCCGUUGGCAUCUCAAUUGGACCUGAUAUCAGGCAAGGUUACCCGCUGAACUUAA
This 886-nucleotide ribosomal RNA is filed under the name Phytophthora sp. 2 EEO-2011. RNAcentral's name for it is "eukaryotic LSU rRNA". The stretch from base 248 to 402 matches the Rfam family "5.8S ribosomal RNA". Lineage: Eukaryota; Oomycota; Peronosporomycetes; Peronosporales; Peronosporaceae. The record is from RNAcentral.